AACUCUCAAAAGUUAAAUCAAUAUUGACUAUUAAUGUUGGAAAUUAUCGUUGGUGGGCCAAAAGUGUUGACCAUUAAUAUUAUUAAAAACAAUAAAUAAAUAAAUAAGUGAAGUUUACUUGCGCCGUGGAAUGACCGGCGUCGUGAAAGUUUUGACAGAAAAAGGUAGUUGGAAAAGAGGAGGACGAUGGAGCCCUUCAAGGACUAGAGGCGUGGAGGGGACGUGCUGCCA
This 231-nucleotide long non-coding RNA is filed under the name Manihot esculenta (cassava). Its description in RNAcentral is "long non-coding RNA (MESC_LNC010447)". The record is from RNAcentral. Lineage: Eukaryota; Viridiplantae; Streptophyta; Magnoliopsida; Malpighiales; Euphorbiaceae.